AAUAGAGAACAGAAGUGGGCCCAGAGUUGAUCCUUGGGGUACACCCUUUUGUUGGAUCAACAGGUCAGACUGUUUUCCAUUAACAACCACACAUUGCUUUCUACUUUCUCCAACAAUUACA
Molecule: long non-coding RNA, 121 nt
Organism: Notothenia coriiceps (black rockcod)
Lineage: Eukaryota; Metazoa; Chordata; Actinopteri; Perciformes; Nototheniidae
Exons: 3
Source: RefSeq, a predicted model, not a curated record